AAGUCGUAACAAGGUUUCCGUAGGUGAACCUGCGGAAGGAUCAUUACCGAGAUAGGGUCCCUCUGGGGCCCGACCUCCAACCCUUUGUCUACAUAACCUCUGUUGCCUCGGCGGGUCGUCGGGGUCCCGCGUCGAAACGGGCCCCCGCCAUCGGCUCUCACAAGGAGCCCUUGCGCGCCCGCCGAUGGGAAACAUCAAACCCAAUAUUAAAUCAGCCUUCUGAGUAUAUUAUUAUAAUACUUCAAAA
Molecule: unclassified non-coding RNA, 247 nt
Filed under: plant metagenome
Description: partial contains small subunit ribosomal RNA and internal transcribed spacer 1
Rfam family: Eukaryotic small subunit ribosomal RNA (bases 1-46)
Source: RNAcentral